Molecule: transfer RNA, 79 nt
Filed under: Candidatus Altarchaeales archaeon
Lineage: Archaea; Nanobdellati; Candidatus Altarchaeota; Candidatus Altarchaeia; Candidatus Altarchaeales
Description: tRNA-Val
Rfam family: tRNA
About the family: Transfer RNA (tRNA) molecules are approximately 80 nucleotides in length. Their secondary structure includes four short double-helical elements and three loops (D, anti-codon, and T loops).
Source: RNAcentral
GGGCUCUUAGCUUAGUUGGUAUAAAGCGCCUGGUUUACACCCAGGAGAUUCGCAGGUUCGAGUCCUGCAGGGCCCACCA